Molecule: long non-coding RNA, 656 nt
Organism: Leucoraja erinaceus (little skate)
Lineage: Eukaryota; Metazoa; Chordata; Chondrichthyes; Rajiformes; Rajidae
Exons: 3
Source: RefSeq, a predicted model, not a curated record
CUCUGGGAUAAAGACUCUGUUCAUCUACCCUAUCUAUUCCUGAUAGGAUUCGUUGGAUUGACAUCAAGGGUUGACGCUGACAUGGUGGGCCGAAUGGCCUGUUCCUGUGCUGUGUUGUUCUAUCUUCUUUGUUAGCAGGGACUUUGAAAAGGCAGCCAGAUGCACACUUGAAGAGAAAUGGCUGUGUGGACGGAAUGGGACAGUUUGCCAAAGAGCUGCCACAGCCAUGAUGGGCGGAAUGGCCUUCUGCGGUGUCGCUCCAAGACCUCCACCUCUCCAGCCUGCUGUCAGGAAUGUUCUGACCCAGUUCCAGCCAGGACUCCCAUUGGACCGAGUGGCUUUGCACUCUGCUGGCCCUGUUACCCAACGCUGAGGGAUAUUUAGGCUCCGAAUCUCGGCUCUAACCAGUCCAGCACAGUCUGAAGAAGGAUCUCAACCCAUUCCUUCUCUCCAGAGAUGCUGCCUGUCCCGCUGAGCUACUCCAGCGUUUUGUGUCUAUCUUCAACAUCAGAGAGUGUGGCUCUCUGCCAGUUGUGACUGUGGAGGACUCUCGCUAAAAACGCUUACGGAAGGCCGGCUGUAACUGGACAAGAUCUAAGGAAGAAGGUCCUUGGAGCAGUGAGGCUGGAACAUGGAUGGAGAGAGGGUCUUUCGCC